UACGGAGGGUGCAAGCGUUAUCCGGAUUCACUGGGUUUAAAGGGUGCGUAGGCGGGCAGGUAAGUCAGUGGUGAAAUCCCCGAGCUUAACUCGGGAACUGCCGUUGAUACUAUCUGUCUUGAAUACUGUGGAGGUAAGCGGAAUAUGUCAUGUAGCGGUGAAAUGCUUAGAUAUGACAUAGAACACCGAUUGCGAAGGCAGCUUGCUACACAGUCAUUGACGCUGAGGCACGAAAGCGUGGGGAUCAAACAGG
Molecule: ribosomal RNA, 253 nt
Filed under: uncultured bacterium
Lineage: Bacteria
Description: partial 16S ribosomal RNA
Rfam family: Bacterial small subunit ribosomal RNA
Source: RNAcentral